AUUGGAGAAAAGCAGGGGAUCGCAAGACCUUGCGCUGAUUGAGCGGCCGAUAUCAGAUUAGCUAGUUGGUGAGGUAAAAGCUCACCAAGGCGACGAUCUGUAGCGGGUCUGAGAGGAUGAUCCGCCACACUGGAACUGAGACACGGUCCAGACUCCUACGGGAGGCAGCAGUGGGGAAUUUUGGACAAUGGGGGCAACCCUGAUCCAGCCAUGCCGCGUGAGUGAAGAAGGCCUUCGGGUUGUAAAGCUCUUUCAGCCGGGAAGAAAAUGCAUGGGUUAAUACCCUGUGCAGAUGACGGUACCGGAAUAAGAAGCACCGGCUAACUACGUGCCAGCAGCCGCGGUAAUACGUAGGGUGCGAGCGUUAAUCGGAAUUACUGGGCGUAAAGCGUGCGCAGGCGGUUUUGUAAGACAGGCGUGAAAUCCCCGGGCUUAACCUGGGAACUGCGUUUGAAACUACAAGGCUAGA
This 469-nucleotide ribosomal RNA is filed under the name uncultured bacterium. Its description in RNAcentral is "bacterial SSU rRNA". It matches the Rfam family "Bacterial small subunit ribosomal RNA", at positions 195 to 645 of the family's 1533-position model. The record is from RNAcentral.